ACAAAAAAAAAAAAAAAAAAUGGUUGGACUUUUCAAAAUGUUAUAAACAACAAUCUGGUUAUCCGUCUCCUUUGGUUUCAGGUAUUCAAGAAGAUAAUUAAAGUACUUAUCAUUUUUGCUAAACAGCAGUCAGCAGCACUUGAAAUGCCACAAUAUAGUCUGUGCCCCCAUCAAUAUUGCAUAAUGGAGGCCAAGAUAUUGAUGGUCUUUGAAAAUUUGAUAGGUAUCAAUAUAUGGAUGCUAUUCAGUAUUCAGCAUGAUUAAUUUUCUUGUUUAAUUAUUCUCAAUUAGUUGUUGUUUUGCAUUAUGUGUCUAAUCAUAAAGCUAAAGAAAUUGGAAUGAAAAUGAAAGCUUUUCCUUAUGGGGAAAUAGAUGAUUUAAAGUAAGAAAUUAUAUUGCAAAGUAAAGCAUAUUGGUGAUGGGUUCUUUAAUUUUUGAUCUUCUGGUUUUAAGUUUGCAUUGGAAAAUUAUAGUUCAUAACAUUUAAGGUUUGAUUAUUGCAUUGAACUGAUAAUUUUUCAUAGUUGACUCGUUGGGUUUCAUUUAAUUUAUUGGAAAACAUGAUUAGGGGGCCAUUCAUUGUUGGGAGGUCUUGGCAACAACUUUUCUGGCUUGUUGGACUCAUCACAUCAGAUGACAUGCAGUUUUUUUAUGUCUCAGCAACAUAGGACUUUCAUCCAAAUGAGGACAGUUCUCAAAGUUGUGGACAAUUCAGGUGCAAAGAAGGUGAUGUGCAUACAAGCUCUGAAGGGGAAGAAAGGGGCAAGAUUAGGAGACACGAUAGUAGCUUCGGUAAAGGAAGCUAUGCCAAAUGGAAAAGUGAAGAAAGGAAAGGUUGUGUAUGGUGUAGUAGUGCGUGCUGCCAUGCAACGGGGACGUUGUGAUGGUAGUGAGGUUAAGUUUGAUGACAACGCUGUUGUACUGGUGGAUAAGCAAGGUCAGCCAAUUGGGACUAGAGUGUUUGGGCCAGUCCCGCAUGAGCUAAGGAAGAAAAAGCAUGUCAAGAUCCUUACUCUGGCAGAGCAUAUUGCCUGAGGUAUUGGAUAUAUUGUUCUGAAAAUUUGAAAUUUGUGGUCUUUCCUGUGCUAUGGACUUUCGAUUGUAUCGUUGAGGGGCAAACUUUGAGGAAAAGAAUCAAAAUGUUGUAGGCUAUGUUGAAUAGCUAAACAUAUUUCUUUUGAAAUCUGCAAAUCUAUUGCAUGCAUUACUGGUUUGAACUAGGAUCUAUGACCUCUUGCAUUAGCUUCUUUUCUUUUUCUUUCUCCUUCCGUUGUAGAAACUAUCUAUCAUACAGAUUAUAUUUAUAUAUAUUUUUUGUCUAUCA
RNAcentral lists this unclassified non-coding RNA (1324 nucleotides) under Hevea brasiliensis (rubber tree). The record is from RNAcentral. Lineage: Eukaryota; Viridiplantae; Streptophyta; Magnoliopsida; Malpighiales; Euphorbiaceae.